AUGAGCCACUUGAGGGGAAGGUGAAAACCUUCGACGAAGGUUCGAGCCGAGCGUAGUGAGUCAACGACGCGCAGCGGCGGCCCGAAGGGUGAGGAAUGAAGUGACGAAUAAUCCUUCCCCCACCACCA
This 128-nucleotide small RNA is filed under the name Yersinia enterocolitica. Its description in RNAcentral is "RtT sRNA". It matches the Rfam family "RtT RNA". From Rfam's summary of the family: This family represents a bacterial cis-regulatory element known as RtT RNA. The exact function of RtT is unknown although it is thought that it may be involved in changing the cellular response in relation to amino acid starvation. The record is from RNAcentral. Lineage: Bacteria; Pseudomonadati; Pseudomonadota; Gammaproteobacteria; Enterobacterales; Yersiniaceae. RNAcentral also lists the same sequence under 1 other name.